Molecule: ribosomal RNA, 301 nt
Filed under: uncultured bacterium
Lineage: Bacteria
Description: partial 16S ribosomal RNA
Rfam family: Bacterial small subunit ribosomal RNA
Source: RNAcentral
CAGCCGCCGCGGGAAUACGUAGGGCGCAAGCGUUAUCCGGAAUUAUUGGGCGUAAAGAGCUCGUAGGCGGUUUGUCGCGUCUGCCGUGAAAGUCCGGGGCUCAACCCCGGAUCUGCGGUGGGUACGGGCAGACUAGAGUGAUGUAGGGGAGACUGGAAUUCCUGGUGUAGCGGUGAAAUGCGCAGAUAUCAGGAGGAACACCGAUGGCGAAGGCAGGUCUCUGGGCAUUAACUGACGCUGAGGAGCGAAAGCAUGGGGAGCGAACAGGAUUAGAUACCCCGGUAGUCCCUGUCUCUUAUAA